AGUGAACGCUGGCGGUAGGCCUAACACAUGCAAGUCGAACGGCAGCACAGUAAGAGCUUGCUCUUACGGGUGGCGAGUGGCGGACGGGUGAGGAAUACAUCGGAAUCUACUUUUUCGUGGGGGAUAACGUAGGGACACUUACGCUAAUACCGCAUACGACCUACGGGUGAAAGCAGGGGAUCUUCGGACCUUGCGCGAUUGAAUGAGCCGAUGUCGGAUUAGCUAGUUGGCGGGGUAAAGGCCCACCAAGGCGACGAUCCGUAGCUGGUCUGAGAGGAUGAUCGGCCACACUGGAACUGAGACACGGUCCAGACUCCUACGGGAGGCAGCAGUGGGGAAUAUUGGACAAUGGGCGCAAGCCUGAUCCAGCCAUGCCGCGUGGGUGAAGAAGGCCUUCGGGUUGUAAAGCCCUUUUGUUGGGAAAGAAAAGCAGCAGGUUAAUACCCCGCUGUUCUGACGGUACCCAAAGAAUAAGCACCGGCUAACUUCGUG
RNAcentral lists this ribosomal RNA (492 nucleotides) under uncultured bacterium. RNAcentral's name for it is "partial 16S ribosomal RNA". It matches the Rfam family "Bacterial small subunit ribosomal RNA", at positions 29 to 507 of the family's 1533-position model. The record is from RNAcentral.